CUUCGCGUCAACAGUACUGCUCAUGUCCUUCACGCUUUUGUCAAUGGAAAACAUAUUGGUAGUCAACACGCUGAGAAUGGUAAAUUUAACUAUGUAUUUGAGAAAGAUGUGAAGUUUAAGUCUGGUCGUAAUGUCAUUGCUCUUCUUAGCAUAACUGUGGGACUUGCGAACUAUGGUGCUUUCUUUGAAAGUAAGCCGGC
Long non-coding RNA from Brassica oleracea var. oleracea, 200 nucleotides. RefSeq lists it as uncharacterized. The record is from RefSeq and is a predicted model, not a curated record. The transcript has 3 exons. Lineage: Eukaryota; Viridiplantae; Streptophyta; Magnoliopsida; Brassicales; Brassicaceae.